This 430-nucleotide ribosomal RNA is filed under the name Pseudomonadota bacterium. Its description in RNAcentral is "Proteobacteria bacterium partial 16S ribosomal RNA". It matches the Rfam family "Bacterial small subunit ribosomal RNA", at positions 355 to 776 of the family's 1533-position model. The record is from RNAcentral. Lineage: Bacteria; Pseudomonadati; Pseudomonadota.
UGGGGAAUAUUGGACAAUGGGGGGAACCCUGAUCCAGCCAUGCCGCGUGUGUGAAGAAGGCCUUAUGGUUGUAAAGCACUUUAAGCGAGGAGGAGGGUACUGGUAUUAAUACUACCAGGUACUGGAUGUUACUCGCAGAAUAAGCACCGGCUAACUCUGUGCCAGCAGCCGCGGUAAUACAGAGGGUGCGAGCGUUAAUCGGAUUUACUGGGCGUAAAGCGUGCGUAGGCGGCUAAUUGAGUCGGAUGUGAAAUCCCCGAGCUUAACUUGGGAAUUGCAUUCGAUACUGGUUAGCUAGAGUGUGGGAGAGGAUGGUAGAAUUCCAGGUGUAGCGGUGAAAUGCGUAGAGAUCUGGAGGAAUACCGAUGGCGAAGGCAGCCAUCUGGCCUAACACUGACGCUGAGGUGCGAAAGCAUGGGGAGCAAACAGG